ACUCGGCUUCUAGCUUGGGGUCUCGCACCGCGCCUCGAGCCCGACCAGCCUGCGGUGGCGCCGUCUCGCUGAAAGGGGGAGAGAGAAAGAGAAAGAAGAAAAGAAAAAUAUCGCCGGCAUCGGCGACGAAGGCGGAGCAGCAAUGCGAUCGUCAGAGCACGCAUUUCGACGGUGAGAUUCGGAAGCUCGAAGGCGUCACCGGCACUGCGAGAAAGCCGGUGAAGUACUUUGGGACCGCCGCGUAGGCGUCUUGACAGUCCGCUCCCGAGACAUCGACGACACGCUCCAAGAUGAAGAUCGAGAACCUGCUCAUACGGCAGCUCAUCAACGAGUUCCUCGGAACAAUGAUUCUAAUUACUAUCGGCGACUCCAUCAUGGCCAUCAUCAUCGCCGGUGACAACGAGUCCCUGGCUGCUUGCGUGGGGCCCUUGGGAUGGGGCGUCGCCAUCUACGUGGCCGUGCAAAUCUCCGGAGGAGUCUCGUCCCACCUGAAUCCUGCCGUGACGCUGGCCCAGGCGUCCGUGCGCAAGUUUCCGAUCGCCAAAGUGCCGCUAUACUUCGCGGCUCAGUACCUGGGCGGCUUCGUCGGUGCGGCGCUCGUGUUUGCCACCUACAAAGACGCUAUUGAACACUUCGACCAGGGAAUCCGCCAAGUGACGGGAGAGAAGGCCACGGCUGGUAUAUUUGCAACUUACCCUAGACCACACGUCUCCACUCUGACCUGCUUCAUUGAUCAGGUCAUUGCAACGGGCAUAAUGAUGGUGUGCGUCGAGGCCAUCGGCGACACUCGCAACUUCGGCGGCAUUCCGCCGCAUAUUCACCCAAUCUGCUUGGGUCUCAUGAUCAUGGCGAUUAUCUUCAGCUUCGCCUACAACUGCAUGUGCCCGCUCAACCCGGCCAGGGACAUCUCGCCACGGCUCUUCACGCUCAUGGCCGGGUGGGGACCCGAGACGUUCACUCUCCGCGGAUGGAACUACGUGUGGGUUCCUCUGCUCGGCCCUCACAUCGGCGCCAUACUGGGCGUGUGGCUGUACAAGGUGGCUAUCGGUGACCACUGGCCCGAGAAGCCGAAGCCAGCCAUCUCAAUGGAUCAUCCAGUCGCCGUGGUGGUCGCCAAGAAAGCACCAUCUCGGACGCCUCCUGCCCUUUCUCCUUCCGCUGCGCCGACUACGUCGACUUCGCCUCAGCCUGCGGCUCCACAGGCCACCGAUGUCAAUGCCGGCUCUCCUGCGAAGGCCUAGUUACGAAGCGACCCCCAUUGUGUGUGUUUGCCCGCAUCAGACGUCAUUCAUACACCGGACGGCAAGGAGACGAAGGAGGACCUGGUGGAGACACUGUACAAGGUCGACGGCGACAAGAUGGUGCUCGAGCUGGAACCUACCCAGCACCAGCGGCUGUGAAACCUCGUGCGUGCCCCCGCUGCUACACAAGUAUCGCCCGGAGCUGCGCCGAACGGCUAGCGUUUACGCCCGCACGUUUGUCCAGGUGGACCAACAACGGGUGUCACUUCGGAUGGCGGUGUCCCUCAGAUGACACAACGCAAGCCGUUCGCCCCACUUCGUACUGACGAGCUAUUCAUCCGAAAGAACCCUGGCAACCCCGCACAUCAUUGUGUGGCCUGCCAGGCCGGCAGUUUCUCUGCAGAUCACCCCUUUGGACUGAUGACGGCACGGGAAAUGGAAGAUGUACGCCGUGCAACUAUUGCGCCACGUUUUCUGUUCUACGAGAUUGGGCCGUCGUGAAUGGUGGUCACGGAAACAUCGCUAGGGCUUUUUUUUUCAUUUUGUAUUUCUAGAGAGUUAACGACGCGAUGUGAUCCGAUAGUAUACUAAGCCUACUCUAAACUAAAGAGCAUGGAGGAAGAAAUCAAGUAGGAGAGAGAUUUACCUCGCGCGGCCAGCCUUGACCAGGGAAACUCCUCUGGCAGUCAUUUUUCUCCUUGUUGUACCUCACAGUACCGUCCUAAUACGUGAACACUGAGAGACAGCGCACUCGCCGUGGUAUUGGUCGAUAGUGCUUAUUCGGUUGCACGGCCAUUACUUAGUGCCUGCACGCGCGCUCGUCACUUAGUGAUCACGUGUUAGGCCGAUACCUUUUUGGCUUCAAUCGUGCUGGACUGCAAUCUUUUUUGUUUAUUCUUUUCUCAGUGUCAGAGCUAGGAGCAGGUAGACGGAAACUUUUCCAAAUUAAAAAAAAAAUUAAACGGCAUAAGCUGCUUUACUGAGAGUUCGACUGGUGCUUCUAAGUGCCGAGCAUUGUUUUUCAAGGUGGUUUUGUCAUGUCCACAAUUGGGAAAUAACUUCAUGUUAUCGGCCUAUGGAGAGGUCACGUGGCACGAGUAAUGCUACCAGAACUUCUAUUUGACCAUUAGUGAAACCAGGGGACGUCGCUCCACUAACAUUACACGUGUGCAUCGACGCGACUGACAGCAAGUCUACAUUGCAUAGAGAUAUGUUCUAAAUAUUGCCCCGCAUGCCUCAAGUGCUUGGUCAUUAUUCAUCGGGUUUAUUACAUGCUACUCGUUCCUAUAUAUUCUUGAACAUGGGAUGUUUUGAAAGCAACCAAACGAAGUGAGAGUAAUUAUCCGCCAGAAUGUACUGCAACGCAUUGCUGACGUAUGCGGACAGGGUUUUUCUCAACUACAGCGCUUGACAAAUCACGCCUAGGUUUUAUAAAUACAAAGCGUCGGUAGCUAUUUUUGGAUGUAGCAGGUAGAUCAUUUCACGGAGUUUAGUUUAUGUAUGAGUGAACCUCGCGUGUUUAUUUUGUUGGCGACGCGCCAGAUGGGCACCUGUUUCAUACACUUUUGUUGAAGAGUGAGUGGACUAUAGCGUGUAAUAGGGUGGUUUCUGCUUCUGAAUGGAGAGACAAGUGUCCUGCAGAAGUAUAGAUAGAUAGUUUUGUGGCCACUUGAACUUGACAGUAGUUAAGCAGAGUUCGGUGGUUAUAUGCCAAAUAAUGAUGUUAUUGCACGAAAGGAGUGUUAGACGAAACAGUCACGUACGACUUUACAAGCCUGACUGCUGUACGCAAUGUAACUUCAGCAAUAUUAUUAAUAAGCAAAGUCCUGCUCAAAAUUAAGAUUUGCUCACAGACAAUAAAGUAGUAAAAUUUGUACAUCGCCAACUAAUGGUUACAACUCUUUCGCUUAUUAUUUAUUCAAAUAAACAAAAAAAGUAAAAUUUUCUGAAAAACAAUGCCGAUUUAGUUUUGAGCCAUUAUUAUGAUGAAAAUUUUGAUAAUGCGUUGAUUUUCACAUGCUGUGACUUGGUUAAAAAUUAGUCUAUGAAAAUCUGGCAACAUUAUGUUAGCGUAAACAAAUGGCAAUAGGCAUGUAGGCCUAUAAGCCCGUCGGCAUCUUGGGUCUCUGCUUCCUUUCACGAAUCAUGUUGGGCUGGCUUCUACAUAUGUGAGCUGAAGCAAUUGUUGCCCGAAAUACUAAGUAGGAAAGUUCGCUUCGUAAAGCGCAAUAAAAAAUGCUCACGUACUUGUACGUUCAAGGCAUCUGAGUUUUCAAAGUUUUUAUGCUCUUUUAGUGCUGCAAUAGCUGUAUCAAUAUAUUAUAUCGUUGAAUCUUAUGUAAGUGUAAAAAAAGUAUGCUCAAGUAUAAACUGCUAUCCCUCAAUAAUCUGCAAUAUCUACAGCAUUGAAUUAAGUCGCAAAAUAUUGGUAUUUUCUUACUCCCGUGCCUUCCAGGCAAGAGUCUGUAGAAAUUUCAAUCAAUAACGGUUACAAUGCAGUGAAACCCGGAAAAUAUUGUAUAAAAUAACACAAUAUUAAAAAACUACAGAAAGGGAAGAUAGAAGCUCGCGAUGAAAAAAAAAAAUCCUGUAAACAAGGGUGGCGUCAAACCGACGCUUCGACAAGGGCACUUGUCUUCCGCAAGGCUAAAACAGAAUGCAUAAAUUACGGCUAAUGCCUCAUACGAGAAGAAAAAAAUUAAAUACUGCAAGCACUGGCUUUUUCGGUGUUGAGACAAACUUGACUCUUAAGUGAACGUCGGCCAAAUUACUUUUCGUGAGUAGAUGACAAUGACGGUCGCCCAAAUGUAACACACUUGAAUUAGCACACGCAAACGUUGAGCGUGAAAUCUCAGAAAUUUUGCGAGUAAAUGUGCCAAUCUUUAAAGAAAUGUAAACAUCUCCGACUGAACUUUGUUUAGAACGUCCGAAGACUCUUGAAAAUGAAGUGACAUCAGCCAAUGUUUCAAUCAAUCAGUUUAUUAUCAUGUCAUAAAAGGUAGUCCCGGCGUCGUCUCGGGUUCAGUUUGGUUCCUUCCUCAAAGAUUGAGUUGACCAAAUAGCUUACGCAGUAUAGGCCUUAAGCCUUGACUGGUGUUACAAUAGUGUCGAGAUGUCAAUUUCUUUCGGUGCGGUGCGAAACGUCAACUGUAAUCAUAUCAAGGACAUUAGUAGCCACACAAGCAUUGAUCAUACCGCACAUUAACAGAUGUCAUAUACAUCUUUCAUUUGGACGACGCCAAUUGUGUGAAACGUAGCAGUGCAAAGCUUCGAACGUAUAGUGGCCAGCAUGUUCCAAACUGAAAUGUAGUUCCGCACGACGUUGUUCCUGAAUACUUUUAACCGAGUGGGCGGCAACAAAUACCAGCAUGUAAACAUCUGUGGUUCGUUCGAGAAAGCUUUUCGUAAGUGAAAUAAACGCACUGUCGCUUAACGCCAUGACUCUCAACGGGCUGUUGAUGCGGACAUUGCUAUUUGAUGGCACGCACGAACAACAUUGUGUAUGCGUGGCCGUUGUAUUAAGUGUGGACAUUUGUAUUAAGAAGUAUGUUUUUGUGCGUAACGUAUCUGUGUUGUUUGUCGUCAUCACGAAGGUUUACAGUGUCGUAAGGUAAGAACUUUAGAGUGAACUGAAACAGAUUCAAACAGCGUAAAAGUUUACAAAAUGGCGAGACAUCCGUGGGUGAAUUUCUGUGCGCGUCUGUCGCCGAUUAUUAUAAUUAGUCUUAAACGCGCUCCACUUGGUCUGAUUGUACGCGUCGCGAAUAUUGUCUAGCCUGUCAAUAUAUAUGCGCAGGUCAAGCUGCUUUGAAUAUGUGAUAUGGUUCACUUUUCUGGAUGACAAACCGGUGAACGAGCUGUCGCUGGUGACGCUCGUGUGUUUUUGUGUCAAAGUGUUGUUUCUGCCGCAUCUUGUAGCCGCUACUGUUGCUGAAACCAAUGCUUUGACAAGUCGCCCAAUAAAACUGCAUGUCAUCUUAUAUGAAA
Rhipicephalus microplus (southern cattle tick) is the source of this 5228-nucleotide unclassified non-coding RNA. NCBI's taxonomy places the organism in Eukaryota, Metazoa, Arthropoda, Arachnida, Ixodida, Ixodidae. The record is from RefSeq and is a predicted model, not a curated record.